UACGUAGGGACGAGCGUUGUCCGGAAUUACUGGGCGUAAAGGGCGCGCAGGCGGGAGAUUAAGUCGGCGGUGAAAUUUUGCAGCUCAACUGUAAAAGUGCCUUCGAAACUGGUUUCCUUGAGUGUAGAUGAGGUAGGCGGAAUUUGUGGUGUAGCGGUGAAAUGCAUAGAUAUCACGAGGAACUCCGAUUGCUAAGGCAGCUUACUAAGCCAUAACUGACGCUCAAGCACGAAGGCGUGGGGAUCAAACAGGAUUAGAUACCCGUGUAGU
Molecule: ribosomal RNA, 270 nt
Filed under: uncultured prokaryote
Description: partial 16S ribosomal RNA
Rfam family: Bacterial small subunit ribosomal RNA
Source: RNAcentral